UUUACCAAAAACAUCGCCUCUUGUCACACAUAAGAGGUCCUGCCUGCCCAGUGACCCUGUUCAACGGCCGCGGUAUCCUAACCGUGCGAAGGUAGCGUAAUCACUUGCUCUUUAAAUGAGGACUAGUAUGAAUGGCGCCACGAAGAUUUUUCUGUCUCCUUUUUCUUAUCAGUGAAACUAAUCUUCCCGUGAAGAAGCGGGGAUAAAAACAUAAGACGAGAAGACCCUAUGGAGCUUUAAACUAGUAACACCCGCUGCCACAAAUACCCUAAAAACAUUAAGCAGCCACCCUGAUUACAAGUUUUAGGUUGGGGCGACCUAGGAGUAUAAAACAACCUCCAAAUAGUACGAACCUACAGUCCUGAGCAAAAAGCUUCAACUUUAUGCACCAAUAAAUUGACUCACAUUGACCCAAUAUCUUGAUCAACGAACCAAGUUACCCUAGGGAUAACAGCGCAUCCACUUUAAGAGCUCAUAUCGACAAGUGGGAUUACGACCUCGAUGUUGGAUCAGGGUAUCCCAGUGGUGCAGCCGCUACUAAAGGUUUUGUUUGUUCAACGAUAAAAACC
This 569-nucleotide ribosomal RNA is filed under the name Hyloscirtus alytolylax. Its description in RNAcentral is "partial large subunit ribosomal RNA". It matches the Rfam family "Bacterial large subunit ribosomal RNA", at positions 1803 to 2595 of the family's 2925-position model. The record is from RNAcentral. Lineage: Eukaryota; Metazoa; Chordata; Amphibia; Anura; Hylidae.